Molecule: ribosomal RNA, 253 nt
Filed under: uncultured Paracoccaceae bacterium
Lineage: Bacteria; Pseudomonadati; Pseudomonadota; Alphaproteobacteria; Rhodobacterales; Paracoccaceae
Description: uncultured Rhodobacteraceae bacterium partial 16S ribosomal RNA
Rfam family: Bacterial small subunit ribosomal RNA
Source: RNAcentral
UACGAGGGGAGCUAGCGUUAUUCGGAAUUACUGGGCGUAAAGCGCGCGUAGGCGGAUUGGAAAGUUGGGGGUGAAAUCCCGGGGCUCAACCUCGGAACUGCCUUCAAAACUCCCAGUCUUGAGUUCGAGAGAGGUGAGUGGAAUUCCGAGUGUAGAGGUGAAAUUCGUAGAUAUUCGGAGGAACACCAGUGGCGAAGGCGGCUCACUGGCUCGAUACUGACGCUGAGGUGCGAAAGCGUGGGGAGCAAACAGG